AAGCUGGAUUCGCUAGUAAUCGCGCAUCAGCCACGGCGCGGUGAAUACGUUCCCGGGCCUUGUACACACCGCCCGUCAAGCCAUGGGAGCCGGGGGUACCUGAAGUGCGUAACCGCGAGGAUCGCCCUAGGGUAAAACUGGUGACUGGGGCUAAGUCGUAACAAGGUAUC
RNAcentral lists this ribosomal RNA (170 nucleotides) under uncultured bacterium. Its description in RNAcentral is "partial 16S ribosomal RNA". It matches the Rfam family "Bacterial small subunit ribosomal RNA", at positions 1323 to 1500 of the family's 1533-position model. The record is from RNAcentral.